This 98-nucleotide non-coding RNA is filed under the name Paramoeba aestuarina. Lineage: Eukaryota; Discosea; Flabellinia; Dactylopodida; Paramoebidae. The record is from RNAcentral.
AGAAAGAAGGAGAGAGAGAGUGGGAGAUAAGGAGAGAGAGAGAAGAAGCAAUAAGGUCUUCGAUUGCUUUUUCUUUUUCUUUUUCUUUUUCUUUUUCU